Molecule: ribosomal RNA, 482 nt
Filed under: uncultured bacterium
Lineage: Bacteria
Description: partial 16S ribosomal RNA
Rfam family: Bacterial small subunit ribosomal RNA
Source: RNAcentral
AAUGAACGUUGGCGGCGUGGAUUAGGCAUGCAAGUCGAGCGAGAACCGUAGCAAUACGGGGACAGCGGCGCAAGGGAGAGUAAUACGUGGAUACCUACCCUCGGGUCCGGGAUAGCUGCGGGAAACUGCAGGUAAUACCGGAUGACAUCUCCGGAUCAAAGGUGUGAUUCCGCCCGGGGAGGGGUCCGCGUCCUAUUAGCUAGUUGGUGAGGUAACGGCUCACCAAGGCUGUGAUGGGUACGGGGUGUGAGAGCAUGCCCCCGCUCACUGGGACUGAGACACUGCCCAGACACCUACGGGUGGUUGCAGUCGAGAAUCUUCGGCAAUGGGCGCAAGCCUGACCGAGCGACGCCGCGUGCGAGAUGAAGGCCUUCGGGUUGUAAAUCGCUGUCAGAGGGGAGGAAAUGCCGGUGGGUUCUCUCAUCGGUUUGACCUAUCCUCAGAGGAAGGGACGGCUAACUCUGUGCCAGCAGCCGCCGCCG